GGGGUAGUGACGUUCUCCACGAGGCCAGUGGUGGGAGCACUGUCCUCCGUGAGGCCAGAGGGGGGAGUGACAUUCUCCACAAAGCAAGAGGAGGAGCAGCGUCCUCCACAUAGCAAUAGGGGGAGCAAUGUACAGUGCGAAGCAAGGGGAAAGAGGGAUGUCCUCAGUGGAGCGAUGUCCUCUGCAGAGCAAGAGAAUUGAGUGACAUCCAAAGUGGGGCAGGGAGGGUAGGAGAGAGUUCUAAUACAAAAAAUUUCCUAAGGGGGUGCAGGGCAUCAAACCAUUCCCGAGUGGCUCUGUCCCAAGGUCCCCUCCUUUGUUGCUCCCACAUCAGGCGGUUCUUCUCCAAGAGGGCUACUUGGAUGGUGAAAAAGUCUGCUGCAUCCAUGUUUGGGCUAUCUUUCUGUCAGGGAUUUGCAGGUGGAUGCAAAUGCAGAUUAAGUUGAUUAAGUAACAAAAUAUGAACAAUACAAACAACGUAAUCCUUAGACAUCUAAACAUGAACUAUGAUCUCAAGGCAAAAACAUACAUAGACUAGAGGGUAUGUCCUGACAACAAACUGCAACGAAAUACAAAAUCUAGACACUGAGUGCAGUACAAGACAUGACUUAAAUACUCAUGCUCAUUAAACCAAAACGUGACUCCGAUGCAGCCAGUCAUGUGACGUGAUCCGGUGAAGUGCAGGGGCUGAUGGGAAUCGUAGUCAUGCACCAUUUUUGGCAUAACCAUGACAAUAUGUAGCUUAGUAUGUGUUUGAUAAUCUAUUGCCUGACAAAAUAUCUGUAUACAUGGUUGAUAUUUAUGGUACAUAUUUUGUACCCCAAUCUGUGAAAAAUAUUAAAAUAUUAUCUAAAAUAUUAUUUGUUUGAUUAUUAUACAGAUUAUUUAUAUCGUGGUUUGUAUUUGUUGGAUUCUUGUAGAUCAGUUUGGCUUAAAUUCUGUGUGAGUUAGCUAAGAACCCAAGAUAUCAGUUCAUGAAACACUUGAAGGGUUAAUUUAGUCAAAAAUACACCACAUAGCAUUAGCACAAAUGCUACCUGACUAAAGAACUGCACCAUUGCGUCACUAGCUCUUGCAGUUUGGCCGUCACUCUGCUCCUCCAUUUUUUUUUUUACCUGCUGCACUUUGCCGCUAGUGCUUCAUGCCUCGGGUGACAGGAAUCCAAUUUCACCGUGUCUUCGGGAAAGAAUCUCUCAGGCUGAUGAGAGCUAUUGGGCAUGUGGGAGAUGCAGCUUCUAUGUCCUUAUUCUUCCAUUGCUCUUGGAACUUGCAUCCUUCUACCAGACAGGUACAUCCAGGUAGGUGUUGUUGCCAGGGGUCAGAAGCGGUUUUGUUAAAAGUUAGGAAUAGGGAUGUGUGGCCAUAAAUUGAGGACUGUUCGAGGAAAGAGACGUUAGGUGGCAUUAGGCCAGUGUGCUCCAUGUCUACAGUGCUUCCUGUCAUUGUCCAUUUGAAAGUAGGGAAUGCUAGUCUGGACAGUAUGAACCGGAUGCUGUGUGUUACUUGCAGACAUGAUGCAGAGUGUUUUGAUUUGAAUGUUUAGUAAUGGAAACAGUGAGUUGCGAGAAACUUCAAAGACAUCUGCACCAGUUUAUUGCUUUUUAAAAAAUAAAUAAAUCAUAACAUCAAUGCUACAAUAAUGUUGGGUUGUAUUCGACAUGUUUAUGAGAAGAUUCCACAUAAAACAGCCUGUUUUUCGGGUAUUCACGAUGGCAGAGAUGAAAAUGGUCUUAUAGCAAUACGUGUUUUAAUGAUGCUUCUCAAUAUGUCUGAACCCAUGGAAGUUCAUGGUUGAUGCUAAGUGUAAUUAGAUAGCUGUACAGAAUUUUGUCUUAAUAAUUUACCAAUACGUUUAAGGAAAAUGUUGAUUUUUUCCACCGCCGUUGUCUCGUUUCUUUUGUCGCUAAUGCUGCGUUCAAGCCGAAGUCGCAACUUGCAAUUCACCGAAUACACCCAGUAAAAAAAAACAGAAAAUACACCCCUCAACUUGAAAUUUCAACAGGUGCCCGUUGACUACUUUUAAAUUAGUUUAAAGCAGUAUUUGGCUUUAGAUCAGUUACUAUACAAACAUAGUACUUGGUUAAAUCUAUAACACUGACCAUAGUAAUUGCUGUUUUGAAAAUUUAAUCAACAUUGGAGUUAUAAUGUUAGCUGGUUACCUUGUUGCUAAGCUACUCAUUACUGUGCACUUUUGCUGCUGUGCUCCCAUUUCAGUCCAAAAUGUUCCAUGAAUGUUUGAAGUUCAUUGUAGUAGAAUAGUACCAGUAGCCACUCGGGCCUGUAACCACUGUUAAAGUGCAUUUAAAGCAGCUUUUCAUGAGCUGGUUUCUGGUAGCUUGGUGCUCACAUCGUGCUGGACUUGUCACGAUCCUGUCACAUUAACACCCUGGUGAAGAAGGCCCAUCAGUGUCUUUACCAUCUUAGACGCUCAAAGGAAUUUGGAACUGCCAGCAUCAAGAACAUCCUGAUGGGAAGCAUCACAGCCUGAUUUGGGAACAGCACCAAGCAGGAUAGGCGUGCUCUCCAGAGGGUGGUGCGAUCAGCUGAGCUCACCAUCUGCAAUGAGCUCCCUGACCUGCAGUCUAUCUACAGCAAAUGGUCCUGGAGCAAGGCCAGGAAGAUGAAGUGAAGGACCUCAGCCAUCCAAACAAUGGACUCUUCUCUCUGUUGCGCUCAGGGGAACAGAGCGUUUCCGCUCCCUGAAGUCCGACACAGAAAGAAUGAGGAGGAGCUUCUUCCCAAAGGCCAAUCGGGCCCUCAACCAGGAAAACACCUAGGACUAGAGCUUGGACUUGGUUGCAUAUUACCCUAUAUUUAUAAAUAUUUAAAUAUUGCUGACAAUUUCACUACAGCUACCUCGGCCUGAUCAUAUUGCACAAACACAUGCACAUAUCGGCACCUGUUGCUGCCACCUAUAUAUAUAUAUAUAUAUAUUUCGGUUUCUA
Ictalurus punctatus (channel catfish) is the source of this 2945-nucleotide long non-coding RNA. NCBI's taxonomy places the organism in Eukaryota, Metazoa, Chordata, Actinopteri, Siluriformes, Ictaluridae. The record is from Ensembl.